Molecule: ribosomal RNA, 253 nt
Filed under: uncultured bacterium
Lineage: Bacteria
Description: partial 16S ribosomal RNA
Rfam family: Bacterial small subunit ribosomal RNA
Source: RNAcentral
UACGGAGGGUGCAAACGUUGCUCGGAAUCAUUGGGCGUAAAGCGCACGUAGGCGGCCUGUUAAGUCGGGUGUGAAAGCCCUGGGCUCAACCCAGGAAGUGCACUCGAAACUGGCGGGCUUGAAUAUGGAAGAGGGUCGCGGAAUUCCCGGUGUAGCGGUGAAAUGCGCAGAUAUCGGGAAGAACACCUAUGGCGAAGGCAGCUCUCUGGGACGGUACUGACGCUGAGACGCGAAAGCGUGGGGAGCGAACAGG